CAACAAUGCUGUCAUGGAGGGAGGGGUUAAAAACCAAAGAGAGAUAAGGGCUCAAUGUCUGCUGGGAGUUCAGAGCAUAGGACCUGAGUUAUGGGCCAUGGGAACACAGUGAGGCACGAGAGCACAGCCUGGUGUGGCACUGCAGCCCCACGGUGCCAUGGUGUGCACACACACACACACACACACACACACACACACAGUGCACGGGGCUUUAUGGUGAUGCUGGCAGUGCUGCACCACUGGAGGACGCGGAGGGCUGAGAGCAUCAGAGCACAGCACACACACAGCAGUGACACCGGGAGCACAGACACGGGGAGGGGGGGGGAAACGUCACUGCAUCCCCAGCAUUGGGCCUGGGAUGGGGCUCAGACCCAUCAGGAAUCGGCCACCCUGGGAGCUCCAUCCAGGGCAGUGUGCGCUGCUCUGUGUGCCCGCUGAGCUCCGUCAGUGCCGGCACUGAGGGGACCCUCUGGGCAGCCCCUCCAUUGGUACGGCUGGAGCUCAUCACCUCCGUGCGGUGCGCAGCACCCCGUGUGCCACAAAGCUCACGUCAGCCCCGUGCCCAGCAGCCCACAGCGACCCUCAGAGCCACGGGUGGGACGUGGCUGUGCACACACGUCGCCCCCCUCACUGUGCAGCAGGGAAAGGUGUGGGAGCGCAGCAUCCCCGGGGCUUGGGAUGGAACAGAGCCCGUGCAGCAAUGCCCGGUGCCACCGGCACUGCAGGGCUCCACGGCUGCUCCUGGCCCUGCAGUCACACUGGAUAUGAAGGACGUGGGUCGGCCCCACCUCUGAUGGUCAGACAGACCGACGGGCACAGCGGACAGAGCGGGGACAGAGAGACAGGGAGGAAAGCGGCCGCAGGGUCUGAGAGCACACAGCAGAGACAGACGUGAAGACAGGGAUGGGGAGAGCGCACACGUAAUGCACUGAGCAGGAGGAGAGCUGGGCUCGCUCAGAGGGCACAAACAGCACCUGGGAGGACAGAGCUGUGCCCUUCUAACCCAGCGCGCCCCAAUGGCCCCGAGAGCACAGCGGGGCGCUGCCAGGACCCGGCUCUGAGAGACCCCCAUUUCCACGGCAGGGGAUCCAUCACCGAACCCUUCCUGCUCUCCUUCCAGCUCAGUUUUUUACAGACAGGACUCGCUGAACCCUUUGUUAUCCUGCUGGGGAGCAGAGCAGCGCUUAAACAAGGAAGGCCAACAGGCACAGGGUUGUUUGCCUGGGAAAUCAGUGCCAGAGGGAUCCCAUCUCAGCAUCAGCAAUGCUUACGGUCAGCUCCUGCCCAACGCAUCGCUGUGUCAGAGCACCCGCGGCCAUAAGAAAGGCACUGCCCCCAUGUUACUGCAUCUGUUACUGCAUCUGCCCCCCAGGCUGCUGCCGUUGCCUUGGAGCAGCGUGGCUGUGCAGGCGGUCGCUGCUGACUGCUGCAGAGGAUUAAGGCACGGCUGCAUUGCAGCCCGGUGGUUUCUUGCUGCCCCUUGGUCAGAGGAGCCCCGAGGCACAGCUCUGCCAGAGGGCAUGAUCAUCUCUAUCUAAAAACGCAGGGGGUUCCUGAAUGCCCGCUCAGUGUGUGCUGAAGCUGAACACCGAUGCCGUGUGGCACACAUCAGCUCCUGGCCUAACAGUGCAGCAGGCAGCCCAGCCAGGGCAAGGCCUCUGUUUAAGACAUGGCAAAACCAGCAGGGAAUGCAUCUCACGGAGGCCUGAGCCCUGCAAAGCAGCCCCUCUGGUGUGUAAUUACAUCCAAUUUAAGACCAAGGUGGCGAACUCAGCGCCAUCCCUUAUGUGCCGAACCCUCCGCAGUGCUCAGUUCCUCAGGGAGGGCAUCCAGAGAUCAAAAACAGCACAGGGAAAACCCGUGGGGGACACCCGAGGGCACCACGAGGCUUCCUCGGAUGGACACGGAGCGGGGACAGCCCCGGGGCUGCGCCGUUUGGCUCCGGGUGGCGCUCCUCCCUUCGCUCAUCACCUUUCCCAGAGCCAAACUCUGCCUCCAGAGCGGGUGGUGCAAAUCCACCAACCCUGCAGAGCUCCUCCAGGUUUCCGGCACAGCGCCUGGAAGCUGAGUGGGGCGUCAGGGAAUGGUUGGAAAUGCCCACAUCCCAAUCAGUUCGCUCAGCAUCGCUUCGGGCUCAGCCCCCACGGGCACCAACACACACAGUGGACACAAGGAGAAGCUUUGGUGUUCACAUGGAUCAUACUUGCCUGAUGGGAAAGGUCAGGAACCUCGCUUUUACAGCGCUGCGCAGGGCCACGUGCACUUUAGCAGUACAGUGAGCAACAGGGGCUGCAUUUGCUUUUAAAAGCAUCCAUCACUGACUGCACCAGCAUCGCUGUGUGCUAAGGGCCCGAGCCUUGCAGGCAGCAUAAAGCCUCAGGUUAACAGAUGGUUUGUUACACACACGGUUUGCACGUGGCUCAGUUAGCUCUGCCCACGUCAGGCACGCCGAGGACUCGUUAGGGUUCAUCUAACCACAUCUUCUGGGUUAAUGGGUUAAACGACAGCACGUCACCAAUUGCUAUCUGACAGCGGCGCUGCUGCAAAUAGCAUUGGCCGGUUGGUGUUAUACAACAUGCCACUACGGGGAGGGGGUCAGCACAGCGCGUCCAAAGUGUGAAGGUACUCACACUGCCUCCUCCCGGGAUGUGUUUGAUAUUAUCCUUUGAGCCACACCUGGAUUGAACGCUGCUAAAGUCCAACUUCUGAUUAACAAUCUGCACCUUUGGUAGCCAGAAAAGAGUCAUUGCAUGUCACCAAUUGCUAUCUGACGGCACGGGCGCUGCAGAUAGCAUUGGUGGUUUAGUGUACACAACAUGCCACUUAUCAUUAAGAACUAUUACAGUGCAUUGAAAGUGUGAAGGUACUCACACUGCCUCCUCCCGGGAUGUGUUUGAUAUUAUCCUUUGAGCCACACUUGGAUUGAACGCUGCUAAAGUCCAGCUUCU
This 2948-nucleotide long non-coding RNA is filed under the name Gallus gallus (chicken). Its description in RNAcentral is "long non-coding RNA NONGGAT005521". The record is from RNAcentral. Lineage: Eukaryota; Metazoa; Chordata; Aves; Galliformes; Phasianidae.